AUACGUAGGGUGCAAGCGUUGUCCGGAAUUAUUGGGCGUAAAGAGCUCGUAGGCGGUCUGUCGCGUCGGCUGUGAAAUCUCGGGGCUCAACCCCGAGCCUGCAGUGGGUACGGGCAGACUAGAGUGCGGUAGGGGAGAUUGGAAUUCCUGGUGUAGCGGUGGAAUGCGCAGAUAUCAGGAGGAACACCGAUGGCGAAGGCAGAUCUCUGGGCCGUAACUGACGCUGAGGAGCGAAAGCGUGGGGAGCGAACAGG
Molecule: ribosomal RNA, 254 nt
Filed under: uncultured prokaryote
Description: partial 16S ribosomal RNA
Rfam family: Bacterial small subunit ribosomal RNA
Source: RNAcentral